RNAcentral lists this ribosomal RNA (1293 nucleotides) under metagenome. RNAcentral describes it as "SSU rRNA". It matches the Rfam family "Eukaryotic small subunit ribosomal RNA", at positions 494 to 1801 of the family's 1831-position model. The record is from RNAcentral.
UCUUAGGUCUGGUAAUUGGAAUGAGUACAAUUUAAAUCCCUUAACGAGGAUCAACUGGAGGGCAAGUCUGGUGCCAGCAGCCGCGGUAAUUCCAGCUCCAGUAGCGUAUAUUAAAGUUGUUGCAGUUAAAAAGCUCGUAGUUGGAUUUCUGGUUUGACAUGCCUGGCCCGCCACGGUUACGUGUGUGAGUGCCGGCGCGUGUCUGCCAUCCUUCUGGAAAACGUGCCUACCCUUCACUGGGCCGGAUACGCGAUCCAGAUCAUUUACUUUGAAAAAAUUAGAGUGUUUAAAGCAGGCUUUUUGCUAUGAAUACAUUAGCAUGGAAUAAUAAUUUAGGACUUUGGCCCUAUUUUGUUGGUUUCUAGGACUGAAGUAAUGAUUGAUAGGGAUAGUUGGGGGUGCUCGAAUUCAGCGGCCAGAGGUGAAAUUCUUGGAUUCGCUGAAGACGAACUCAUGCGAAAGCAUUCACCAAGGAUGUCUUCUUUAAUCAAGAACGAAAGUUGGGGGAUCGAAGACGAUCAGAUACCGUCGUAGUCUCAACCAUAAACUAUGCCGACUAGGGAUCAGCGAACGUUGAAUUUUUGACUUCGUUGGCACCUUAUGAGAAAUCAAAGUCUUUGGGUUCCGGGGGGAGUAUGGUCGCAAGGCUGAAACUUAAAGGAAUUGACGGAAGGGCACCACCAGGAGUGGAGCCUGCGGCUUAAUUUGACCCAACACGGGAAAACUUACCAGGUCCGGACAUAGUGAGGAUUGACAGAUUGAAGAUCUUUCUUGAUUCUAUGGGUGGUGCAUGGCCGCUCUUAGUUGGUGGAGUGAUUUGUCUGGUUAAUUCCGUUAACGAUCGAGACCUCGACCUGCUAAAUAGUUUCAUAAAUCCUUCGGGAUUUGCUGUAGACUUCUUAGAGGGACUAUCGGUGUGUAGCCGAUGGAAGUUCGAGGCAAUAACAGGUCUGUGAUGCCCUUAGAUGCCCUGGGCCGCACGCGCGCUACACUGAUGCGUUCAUCGAGCUUACAACCUUGACUGAAAGGUCUGGGUAAUCUUUUGAAAUCGCAUCGUGCUGGGGAUAGAUGAUUGUAAUUAUUCAUCUUCAACGAGGAAUUCCUAGUAAACGCAAGUCAUUAGCUUGCAUUGAUUACGUCCCUGCCCUUUGUACACACCGCCCGUCGCUGCUGCCGAUUGAGCGAUUUGAUGAACCUCAGGGACUGCUGCUCUUGGUUGGGUUUCCUUCCUUGGGUUGGCGGGAACUGAUGUGAAUCUACUCGCUUAGAGGAAGCAAAAGUCGUAACAAGGUU